RNAcentral lists this transfer RNA (67 nucleotides) under Neocucumis proteus. Its description in RNAcentral is "tRNA-Ser". The record is from RNAcentral. Lineage: Eukaryota; Metazoa; Echinodermata; Holothuroidea; Dendrochirotida; Cucumariidae.
AAGAUUCAUCGAUUGUUUCUGGUCUGCUAAACCUAGAAACUUGUGGUUUAACUCCAUAAGAAUCUUG